Molecule: transfer-messenger RNA, 363 nt
Filed under: Escherichia coli
Lineage: Bacteria; Pseudomonadati; Pseudomonadota; Gammaproteobacteria; Enterobacterales; Enterobacteriaceae
Rfam family: transfer-messenger RNA
About the family: Bacterial tmRNA, also known as 10Sa RNA or SsrA, is named for its dual tRNA and mRNA-like properties. Its role is to liberate the mRNA from a stalled ribosome.
Source: RNAcentral
GGGGCUGAUUCUGGAUUCGACGGGAUUUGCGAAACCCAAGGUGCAUGCCGAGGGGCGGUUGGCCUCGUAAAAAGCCGCAAAAAAUAGUCGCAAACGACGAAAACUACGCUUUAGCAGCUUAAUAACCUGCUUAGAGCCCUCUCUCCCUAGCCUCCGCUCUUAGGACGGGGUUCAAGAGAGGUCAAACCCAAAAGAGAUCGCGUGGAAGCCCUGCCUGGGGUUGAAGCGUUAAAACUUAAUCAGGCUAGUUUGUUAGUGGCGUGUCCGUCCGCAGCUGGCAAGCGAAUGUAAAGACUGACUAAGCAUGUAGUACCGAGGAUGUAGGAAUUUCGGACGCGGGUUCAACUCCCGCCAGCUCCACCA